This 68-nucleotide transfer RNA is filed under the name Cominella virgata brookesi. RNAcentral's name for it is "tRNA-Ala". It matches the Rfam family "tRNA". From Rfam's summary of the family: Transfer RNA (tRNA) molecules are approximately 80 nucleotides in length. Their secondary structure includes four short double-helical elements and three loops (D, anti-codon, and T loops). The record is from RNAcentral. Lineage: Eukaryota; Metazoa; Mollusca; Gastropoda; Neogastropoda; Buccinidae.
GACUUGAUACUUUAAGUUAAAAGAUUUGAUUUGCAUUCAGACAAUAAGUUUUAAAAACUUUCGGGUCA